RNA transcript from Zonotrichia leucophrys gambelii, 8445 nucleotides. It is a transcript of the gene named neurofascin, with no coding region annotated. The record is from RefSeq and is a predicted model, not a curated record. NCBI's taxonomy places the organism in Eukaryota, Metazoa, Chordata, Aves, Passeriformes, Passerellidae. The transcript has 34 exons.
UGUGACAAAACCCCGCGGUGGCAGUGCGGGGGCACGGGGAGCGCAGCCCGGGUGGGGACCUUGGGGUGACAGCGCAACUUUGGGGCGCCGAGAGCAGGAGGGGAGGGCGGAUUGCUCUGCGGGGGACUCGCCUCGCUCCUUCCCUGCCGCCUUCCCUCCGGAGGAACAUCCCGGGCCGGAAAAAUCCAUCGGGAAAACGCACCUGGGCUUGGGGAUGGGCCCCGGCGGCGAGCGCUGAGGAUCUCUCUGCACGUGCCACCACCCCAGGGGACACCCCAAAGUCACCCCAAGGGACAUCCCAAGGUCCUGAGGCCACACAGGGAAGCUCCAAGAUGAUCCCGAGGAGAGCCCAGGCCACCUGCGCCGGAAUUGCCUUCGCCCUCUGCCUCCAGCACCUCGUCAGCGCCAUCGAGGUCCCCCUGGACCCAAAUAUCCAGAGUGAAUUGCCGCAGCCCCCCACGAUCACCAAGCAAUCCAUCAAGGAUUACAUCGUGGAUCCCAGGGAUAACAUCUUCAUCGAAUGCGAAGCCAAAGGCAACCCCGUUCCCAUCUUCUCCUGGACGCGGAACGGGAAGUUCUUCAACGUGGCCAAGGAUCCCAAGGUGUCCAUGAGGAGGAGAUCGGGGACUUUGGUCAUCGACUUCCACAGCGGGGGCCGGCCCGAUGACUACGAGGGCGAGUACCAGUGCUUCGCCAGGAACGACUACGGCACGGCCCUUUCCAGCAAAAUCCACCUCCAGGUUUCCAAAUCUCCGCUGUGGCCCAAGGAAAAGGUGGAUGUGAUCGAGGUGGACGAGGGGGCCCCGCUGAGCCUGCAGUGCAAUCCCCCACCCGGCCUCCCCGAGCCCGUCAUCUUCUGGAUGAGCAGCUCCAUGGAGCCGAUCCCACAGGACAAGCGCGUGUCCCAGGGCCACAACGGGGACCUUUACUUCUCCAACGUGCUGGCGCAGGACGCGCUGACCGACUACAGCUGCAACGCCCGCUUCCACUUCACCCACACCAUCCAGCAGAAGAACCCUUACACCCUCAAGGUCAAAACCAAGAAGUCCCAUAACGAAACGUCUUUAGGAAAUUCCCCCGCCAUGUACCGCGCCCGAGGGAUCUCAGAAACCACUCCCAGCUUCAUGUAUCCCUACGGAACUUCCAGCAGCCAGAUGGUGCUCCGAGGGGUGGAUCUCCUGCUGGAAUGCAUCGCCUCCGGAGUACCAGCGCCGGACAUCAUGUGGUACAAGAAAGGCGGGGAGCUCCCGGUGGGUAAAACCAAGCUGGAGAACUUCAACAAGGCCCUGCGCAUCUCCAACGUGUCCGAGGAGGACUCCGGGGAAUAUUUCUGCCUGGCCUCCAACAAGAUGGGCAGCAUCCGCCACACCAUCUCCGUGAGAGUGAAGGCUGCUCCCUACUGGCUGGAUGAGCCGGAGAACCUGAUCCUGGCCCCCGGUGAGGACGGCAGGCUCGUGUGCCGGGCCAACGGCAACCCCAAACCGACCAUCCAGUGGCUGGUGAACGGAGAGCCCAUCGAAUCGUCUCCCCCCAACCCGAGCCGGGAGGUGGCCGGCGACACCAUCGUGUUCCGGGACACGCAGAUCGGCAGCAGCGCCGUGUACCAGUGCAACGCGUCCAACGAGCACGGCUACCUGCUGGCCAACGCCUUCGUCAGCGUGCUGGAUGUUCCUCCCCGGAUCCUGGGCCCCCGGAACCAGCUGAUCAGGGUGAUCCAGAACAACAGGACGCGCCUGGAUUGUCCCUUUUUUGGGUCCCCCAUCCCCACCCUGCGCUGGUUUAAGGACGGCCAGGGGAACACGCUGGAUGGAGGCAACUACAAAGCCUACGAGAACGGGAGCUUGGAGAUGUUCAUGGCUCGGAAGGAGGACCAGGGACUCUACACCUGCGUGGCCACCAACAUCCUGGGGAAAGCUGAGGCCCAGGUCCGCCUGGAGGUCAAAGACCCCACCAGGAUCGUGAGGGGCCCCGAGGACCAGGUGGUGACGAAGGGCACCAUGCUCCGGCUGCACUGCCGCGUCAGGCACGACCCCACGCUGCGGCUCAUGGUCAGCUGGCUCAAGGACGAUGCCCCCCUGUACCUGGGGAACAGGAUGAAGAAGGAAGAGGAUGGUCUGAUGAUCUAUGGAGUGACUGAGAAGGACCAGGGUGAUUACACGUGUGUGGCCAACACGGAGCUGGACAAGGACUUGGCCAAGGCCUAUCUCACCGUGCUGGCCAUCCCCGCUAAUCGGUUGAGAGAUUUACCCAAAGCACGACCUGACCAGCCCCGGGACUUGGAGCUGACGGAUCUGGCCGAGAGGAGCGUGCGGCUGACGUGGAUCCCUGGCGAUGACAACAACAGCCCCAUCACAGGCUACGUGGUGCAGUUCGAGGAGGAUCGCUUCCAGCCCGGAGUGUGGCACGACCACUCCAGGUACCCCGGCAGCGUCAACUCGGCCGUGCUGAGCCUGUCGCCGUACGUGAAUUACCAAUUCCGGGUGAUCGCCGUCAACGACGUGGGCAGCAGCGUGCCCAGCGCGCCCUCCGAGCGCUACCAGACCAACGGGGCACGUCCUGAAAUAAAUCCAACAGGAGUUCAAGGGGCAGGGACCCAAAAGAACAACAUGGAGAUAACGUGGACACCUCUGAACGCAACCCAGGCGUACGGGCCCAACCUCAGGUACAUCGUGCGGUGGCGGCGGCGGGACCCGCGCGGGAGCUGGUACAACGAGACGGUGCGGAGCGCGCGGCACGUGGUGUGGAACACGCCCAUCUUCGUCCCCUACGAGAUCAAGGUGCAGGCUGAGAACGACUUCGGCAGAGCCCCCGAGCCCGACACCUACAUCGGAUACUCCGGGGAGGAUUAUCCCAAGGCUGCGCCCACGGAUGUCAGGAUCAGAGUGUUAAACAGCACUGCCAUAGCUCUGACCUGGACCCGGGUGCACCUGGACACCAUCCAGGGACAGCUCAAGGAGUACCGAGCCUAUUUCUGGAGAGACAGCAGCUUGCUGAAGAACCUGUGGGUCUCCAAAAAACGGCAGUUUGUGAGUUUUCCUGGAGACCGCAACCGGGGCAUCGUGUCCCGGCUGUUCCCUUACAGCAACUACAAGCUGGAGAUGGUGGUCACCAACGGCCGGGGGGACGGGCCCCGCAGCGAAAUGAAGGAAUUCCCCACCCCUGAAGGAGUGCCCAGCGCCCCCAGGUACCUGCGGAUCCGACAGCCCAACCUGGAAAUCAUCAACCUGGAGUGGGAUCACCCCGAGCACCCCAACGGGAUCAUCACGGGAUACACCCUCCAAUACACACCCUUUAACGGGUCCCGGAUGGGCAGGACGGUGGUGGAGAACCUGUCCCCCAACCAGACGAGGUUCACCCUGCAGAGGUCGGACCCCAUCUCCCGCUACCGCUUCAGGCUCCGCGCCCGCACCCAGGUGGGAGAGGGAGAGAUCCUGAUGGAGGAUUCACCGGCGCUGCUGGACGAAGCCACGCCAAGCCCAGAGGCAACUGGGCCGCCUCCAACCCCAGUGGAGGAAACCAGUGCAGAAACCAGUGCAGAAACCACUCCUGAAACCAGCCCUACAAUCAGCCCUACAACCACCCCAACCACCACCGACACCACAACCACAACCACCACAACCACCACAACCACCACCAGCACCGCCGCCAGCACCGCCGCCAGCACCAGCGCCGCUGCCGAGAGGGCUCCGGCAGCCACCACCAGGCACGAGUUGGCCGCCAAUGGAUCGUCCAUAUGGGACAUCAGAGCCAUGGCAAACAGUAACUGGGCAAACAUCACCUGGAGCCACAAUUUCUCGGCAGGAACUGACUUUGUGGUUAAGUAUAUCACCAGUAACAAGACAGAGAAAUCAAUCCCCGUUAAGGCUCAGGGCCCGUCCUCGGUGCAGCUGGCGGAUCUGACGCCGGGGAUGAUGUACAAGCUGUGGGUAUUCCCCAUAUGGUCCCACCCCAGCGAGCACUCGUACAUUACCUUUACCACCAGCUCAGCCUACACCAAGAACCAGGUGGACAUCGCCACGCAGGGCUGGUUCAUCGGCCUCAUGUGCGCCAUCGCCCUCCUGGUGCUCAUCCUCCUCAUCGUCUGCUUCAUCAAGAGGAGCCGCGGCGGGAAGUAUCCAGUGCGGGACAACAAGGACGAGCACCUCAAUCCCGAGGACAAGAACGUGGAGGACGGAUCCUUCGACUACAGCGAUGAAGACAACAAACCUCUUCCCAACAGCCAGACCUCGCUGGACGGGACGAUAAAGCAGCAGGAGAGCGACGACAGCUUGGUGGACUACGGCGAAGGGGGCGAGGGCCAGUUCAACGAGGACGGCUCCUUCAUCGGCCAGUACACGGUCAAGAAGGACAAAGAGGAGACCGAGGGCAACGAGAGCUCCGAGGCCACGUCCCCCGUCAAUGCCAUUUAUUCCUUGGCAUAGCAAAAAAAAAAAAAAAAAAAAGCCGGGAAAAAAACACCCAGAGCCCGAGGGGUUCGGAGCGGGCGGGGGUUCCGCCGGCAGCCGCCGCCGCCGCCGACAGGAAAGGGAAUCGAGCGAGGACUGAAAAACACAAAACAAAACAAAACAAAAAAAAAAAUAGAGAAAAAAAUUAAAAAUAGCAAAAAAAUACAAAAAAAAAAAACCACAAAGGGAAAAAAAAAAAAAGAAAAGUAUUCCAACCAACUAGGCAGCCCAGGUGGCCGCCAAUGCCAUUUAUCCUUAGCAAACGAGCCAACGGCAAAGGACGCGCGGGGCGGGAGCCGGAGUGGGAAUCGGGGCUGGAGCUGGAGCAGCUGGAGGGGAGGAGAUGCUCGAGCUGCUCCCCAGUUUGGGAUUACUCCCCACUUUUGGGGUGCUCCCCAGCUUUGGGGUUGCUCCCCCAUUUUGGGGUUGCUCCGCCAGUUUGGGGCUGCUCCUUGGUUUUGGAGUUGCUUCCCGGUUGGGGAUUGCUCCUCAUUUUGGGGUUGCUUCCCAGUUUUGAGGUUUUUCCCCAGUUUUGAGGUUGUUCCCCAGUUUUGGGGUUGUUCCCCAGUUUUGGGGCUGCAUCAGGGCCAGUCCAGAAGGGCCCCGAGUUGGGCUCGGCUUCCCGAGGCUUUUUUUUUGUUCUUUUAGGAGGGAGCUCCAACUUUUUGGGUUUUAUUUUUCCAAGAAGGUUCUGGAUCAGAGGGGAAGGGGGAAAGAAAUCAAAGAAUUUUGGGGAGGGAAGAUUGGUGAAAGGGGCCUGGGCAGAGCAAAGGCAUGGAAGGAGGAGAGGGGUGGAUUUUGGGGUGAAAACACCAGAUUAUUGAGCUGUCCAUCCUCACGGCAGCACCUUGCCCAUAACCUCUCCCAAAAACCCUCCUUCCUGAAAAAAAACCUAUGCAGGGAAGAGCAGGUCCCCACCACCUCCCUCAGCACCGGGAUUUGUCCUUGCUGAGGCUGGGAAAACCCACAGGGAGCUCGUCCCCCGUUCCCACUGAGCUCCGGAGCACCCCGGGAGGAGAAGAGGUUGUGGAGGAACUUUUGGGAUUUGUGGAAGGACAGGGAGGAGCCUCUCCCCGGGGCGACAGCACUGCAGAAAAGCCUUUUUGGGUUUAAAUUUGCUUCGUAGGGAUUUCGGGGGGAGCCGCCCCCCACCCCACGCCUGCUUUCUUUCCAAGGCAACUCCAUAAAUCCAAUGUAGCAAAGAGGGCCUGGAAGCAGGAGCGGGAUCGGAAUAGGACGAGGAGAGCAGAAUGAUGAAUGAAAAAAUAAUCCAAGCGAGCUGCUGAGGAUGAGAAAAACCCCUGGGAUCAGGUGGAGGAUUCCCUCAAGGAUUCAGGGCUACAAAACGAGGAAGGAACACCAGAUCGGAACCCACACCUCCACAGGCACCGGAUGAGCUGGACGGACGCUGUUUUUCCCACCAAACCCCUUCCUCCUUUCUGACAGUGGCCUUUCCCCCCUCCAGCACUCAGCCAAGCCACCGUGGGACCCCCAUCCCGCCUGGAGACUCCCAGGAUUUCAGAGACCCCCCCUGAGCGCUCCUCACAUGCCUUACACAGCUUGGGACUCGCCGGGGAGUCACUCCAAGGAUGCUCUUCCCGCUCCGCUUCCACGCCCCGACGGCCUCGGAUCCACCUGAGCAGUAGGAAUGGGAUGUCUGGGAGCGUUCCCAGCUCUCCCAGCACGGAUCAGGGUAGAAGGCAGGGAUUCCUGAUGGACUGCGUCCCCGUGAAUCCUCCCACUUCCUGCACUUUUGAAACCAAAGGUACCUUUGCGAAGAGAAAGAGAGAGGCUGGGUUUCCUUCGGAAAAGAUGGAUUUUCCUUUUGGUUUUUUUUGGUUUUUGUUUUGUUUUUGUUUUUUCUGAGGAGGAUGGAGGGUUUUUUUGGAUGGGAUGCAACGGGAUUCGUGCAGUUAUUCUUUCUGCUCUGGAGACACGUCAGUGACAGGGAUACUCCCACUGCUAUGGAUUGUGGAGAGGGACUUUGCCACAUCCCGAUGGAUCCCUGGAAGAGCCCAGAGCGGGCCGACAGGAGAGAUGGAUGCAAAUUAAUCCAAUGCAAAUGCCUUCCUUAAAAUAAUAAUUAUCAUUGAUCUUGGUCGUCUUCUCUGAUAGGUCAAACGUGGGGUGAAGAUGGAGCUCGUGGGGUUGGAUUUGGUGACCUUGAAAGGUCCCUUCCCACCCAAAUUGUUCCAUGAAACCAACAGCAAAGGAAUUCCAGGGUUUAGGUCAGGGUCAAGAGGCAGAGCCCCCUCACAGAGCUGGGGGAGCUGUCCCAGGGAUGUCCCUCAUGUGUCACCCCCUGCCAGGACCCUCCAGCCGUGUCCCCUGGCAGGGACAGCCCCGUUGUGACCCUCAGUGUGGACACAGCCACGCCCCAAUCCCAGUCCUGUGACUCCCAGAAUUCCAUCCAGCUUUUAGGCAAACACCCCCCAGGGCAAAGGUGACACCAGCCCUGGGAUGGGGACAACCCCAUUCCCAAAGGUGACACCGCCCCUGGGAUGGGGACAAUCCCAUUCCCAAAGGUGACACCGCCCCUGGGAUGGGGACAAUCCCAUUCCCAAAGGUGACAUUGCCCCUGGGAUGGGACAAUCCCAUUCCCAAAGGUGACACCGCCCCUGGGAUGGGGACAAUCCCAUUCCCAAAGGUGACAUUGCCCCUGGGAUGGGGACAACCCCAUUCCCAAAGGUGACACCGCCCCUGGGAUGGGACAAUCCCAUUCCCAAAGGUGACACCGCCCCUGGGAUGGGGACAACCCCAUUCCCAAAGGUGACACAGCCCCUGGGAUGGGGACAAUCCCAUUCCCAAAGGUGACACCGCCCCUGGGAUGGGGACAAUCCCAUUUCCAAAGGCGACACCGCCCCUGGGAUGGGGACAACCCCAUUCCCAAAGGCGACACCGCCCCUGGGAUGGGACAAUCCCAUUCCCAAAGGUGACACAGCCCCUGGGAUGGGGACAAUCCCAUUCCCAAAGGUGACAUUGCCCCUGGGAUGGGACAACCCCAUUCCCAAAGGUGACACAGCCCCUGGGAUGGGGACAAUCCCAUUCCCAAAGGUGACAUUGCCCCUGGGAUGGGGACAAUCCCAUUCCCAAACCAUUCCCAACUCCCAGCUGAGUUUGGAUGAGUCCCUGCCCAAGCAUCACUGGGAAUGAGAAAUAAAUCCAGCCUCUGGAUCUGGGAUCUUCCCAUCACUCCCAGUCCUUGCUGCUGACAGGGACCGCAAAACUCCUCCAAACCUCUGGAAAUCAGGCCAGGAUUGCUGGAAGUGGGUCCGUGUUGGGAAUCCAUGAUGUGCCAUUUCCAUGAAAACCCGUAUUUCUGAAACACCCCAUCCCUGAGGAAAUCUCUCAGCACCCCCUUGGAAAAAGGGAUGGGAAGGAGCUGGACUCUACCCAACCUUAUCCCAAAUUUCCUCAUAAAAUUCCCCAGGUUACUUUGAGUAAUGAGAAGUGGGAGGAGAUGCAGAGGUGCACAAACAACUCAGUGUAAAUUACUCACGGCCCUGUCUCAGCUCGGUGUAAAAGUUACUCAACGUUUCUAAGGUUUAGCUAAAAUUCUGACAUUUCUUCAAAAUUUCCCCCCUGGAGUUUUGGAGCCCAAAGACAAUUCAGGCUAAAAACUCAUCCUGAGCUUCUCAUCUCUUACUCCUUUGAGUAAAAUUCAAGGUUUGCACAGGGAGAAAAGCCCUGAGCCCAAACCUUCCACAGCGCUCACAGGGUGACCCCACAGAUCCCAAAAACCCAGACAGGGCUGGGAUGAACCCACACUGUGUCCUGGGAGCAUCCUUGGAGCAGGAGAUGGAUGGAUGGAUGGAUGGAUGGAUGGAUGGAUGGAUGGAUGGAUGGAUGGAUGGAUGGAUGGAUGGAUGAGGGAUGGAUGGAUGGAUGGAUGGAUGAUGGAUGGAUGGAUGGAUGGAUGGAUGGAUGGAUGGAUGGAUGGAUGGAUGGAUGGAUGGAUGGAUGGAUGGAUGGAUGGAUGGAUGGAUGCAUGGACGGAUGG